CAGCCGCCGCGGUAAUACAGAGGGUGCGAGCGUUAAUCGGAUUUACUGGGCGUAAAGCGUGCGUAGGCGGCUUUUUAAGUCGGAUGUGAAAUCCCUGAGCUUAACUUAGGAAUUGCAUUCGAUACUGGGAAGCUAGAGUAUGGGAGAGGAUGGUAGAAUUCCAGGUGUAGCGGUGAAAUGCGUAGAGAUCUGGAGGAAUACCGAUGGCGAAGGCAGCCAUCUGGCCUAAUACUGACGCUGAGGCACGAAAGCAUGGGGAGCAAACAGGAUUAGAUACCCCUGUAGUCCCUGUCUCUUAUAC
This 301-nucleotide ribosomal RNA is filed under the name uncultured bacterium. Its description in RNAcentral is "partial 16S ribosomal RNA". It matches the Rfam family "Bacterial small subunit ribosomal RNA", at positions 509 to 807 of the family's 1533-position model. The record is from RNAcentral.